AACGAACGCUGGCGGCAUGCCUAACACAUGCAAGUCGAACGAGACCUUCGGGUCUAGUGGCGCACGGGUGCGUAACGCGUGGGAACCUGCCCUUAGGUUCGGAAUAACUCCCCGAAAGGGGUGCUAAUACCGGAUAAUGUCUUCGGACCAAAGAUUUAUCGCCUUUGGAUGGGCCCGCGUUGGAUUAGCUAGUUGGUAGGGUAAAAGCCUACCAAGGCGACGAUCCAUAGCUGGUCUGAGAGGAUGAUCAGCCACACUGGGACUGAGACACGGCCCAGACUCCUACGGGAGGCAGCAGUGGGGAAUAUUGGACAAUGGGCGAAAGCCUGAUGCAGCAAUGCCGGGUGAGUGAUGAAGGCCUUAGGGUUGUAAAGCUCUAUUACCCGGGAUGAUAAUGACAGUACCGGGAGAAUAAGCUCCGGCUAACUCCGUG
This 433-nucleotide ribosomal RNA is filed under the name uncultured bacterium. RNAcentral's name for it is "partial 16S ribosomal RNA". It matches the Rfam family "Bacterial small subunit ribosomal RNA", at positions 29 to 507 of the family's 1533-position model. The record is from RNAcentral.